CAUACAAGAGAAGCACCGCUGCUUCUCCUAUCUCCUUUCAUCAAAUCUAUCCCGCAUCAGAGGUGCUUCCCCUUUCUCGAUUGAUUGCCAUCACCGAGCCACCGUGGCUGUUUGCGUUCCCAUCUUCCUUGCUCGACAGAUGAACCACGACCAUCGGACCCGACUCCCCUUCGCAAAUUCCUAUUUUGUCCCAAUACUCAAUUAAAAAAAAAAAGAUGAUGCGAUUUAAGCCCUUUCUAUUUUGUUGAUCGAAAUCAGUCGGAUACGGGGCUCCAACAUAGAAAACGGGUUUCAAAUUCACCCAAUCAAAAGUCAAGGGGUAACCCUAACUUGCAUUUAAAAUAUCCAGAACAACCCCUCCAUCAGGAAACCUAACAAAUAAAGCCCUGAAGCCCCAAAUCAGUUUCAAAUGUACAUGUUUAGCCCCUGUUUUGUGAAUAGUUUGCAAGAUCAGUCCCUGGAGGAUAAUUUUGGUAAAAUCAAUCGCUAGAGUUUACUUAUUAUUAUUAUUUAAAAAAAACCAUCAUAUACUUAAUAAUUAAUACCAAAACUACCAUUUGGUUUAUUAGGUAGUUUAAAAAUAGUUCGUUUUAAGAACGAGGAACGUUAUGUAACAAAUCUCACAACAAGAUUCACACCUCCAGCCUCGUUAAUGCAACGAAAGUGAGUGCUUUCGGCCCAUCUUCAAUAUUUUAAUUAGUUCUGGGGAGGGGGGAAUACAUGUGCCUAUGUAUUUUGUUUAUACAAAUAUAUUAUCCUUUAUGUGAAAAUAAAAUAA
This 778-nucleotide long non-coding RNA is filed under the name Lactuca sativa (garden lettuce). RNAcentral's name for it is "long non-coding RNA (LSAT_LNC007200)". Lineage: Eukaryota; Viridiplantae; Streptophyta; Magnoliopsida; Asterales; Asteraceae. The record is from RNAcentral.